RNAcentral lists this ribosomal RNA (468 nucleotides) under uncultured bacterium. Its description in RNAcentral is "partial 16S ribosomal RNA". It matches the Rfam family "Bacterial small subunit ribosomal RNA", at positions 28 to 507 of the family's 1533-position model. The record is from RNAcentral.
GACGAACGCUGGCGGCGUGCUUAACACAUGCAAGUCGAACGGAAAGGCCCUGCUUUUGUGGGGUGCUCGAGUGGCGAACGGGUGAGUAACACGUGAGUAACCUGCCCUUGACUUUGGGAUAACUUCAGGAAACUGGGGCUAAUACCGGAUAGGAGCUCCUGCUGCAUGGUGGGGGUUGGAAAGUUUCGGCGGUUGGGGAUGGACUCGCGGCUUAUCAGCUUGUUGGUGGGGUAGUGGCUUACCAAGGCUUUGACGGGUAGCCGGCCUGAGAGGGUGACCGGCCACAUUGGGACUGAGAUACGGCCCAGACUCCUACGGGAGGCAGCAGUGGGGAGUAUUGCACAAUGGGCGGGAGCCUGAUGCAGCGGCGCCGCGUGCGGGAUGACGGCCUUCGGGUUGUAAACCGCUUUCGCCUGUGACGAAGCGUGAGUGACGGUAAUGGGUAAAGAAGCACCGGCUAACUACGUG